Danio rerio (zebrafish) is the source of this 115-nucleotide non-coding RNA. The record is from Rfam. Lineage: Eukaryota; Metazoa; Chordata; Actinopteri; Cypriniformes; Danionidae.
CCCGGCAGCUAGCUCUCUGCAACUCUCACAUGGUCGCCCACUGAAGCUAAGCAGGGCUGCUCCCGUUCAGUACCUGGAUGGGAGACCACAUGGGAAAACUAGGUUGCUGCUGGAA